RNAcentral lists this unclassified non-coding RNA (706 nucleotides) under Athalia rosae (coleseed sawfly). RNAcentral's name for it is "misc RNA ENSAEAG00005002846.1". Lineage: Eukaryota; Metazoa; Arthropoda; Insecta; Hymenoptera; Athaliidae. The record is from RNAcentral.
AAGCCAUACCCGGUGCACGUUGAGAGACCUUACCCGGUUCCAGUCAAGGUUUGGGUACCGCAACCGUACCCGGUUGAAAAACCUGUGCCGGUGGAGGUCGAGAAGCCGUACCCCGUGCACGUCAAAGUGCCAGUUGACAGGCCUUACAAAGUGGCGGUAGAAAAACCGUACCCUGUCACAGUUGAAAAGCCAUACCCGGUUCAUGUCAAGGUUCCAGUACCCGUCAAGGUCGAAUCACACGGAUGGCAGUCUGACUCGGGAUUAUCGAACGGAGGACACUAUGCGGGAUCUUCUAGCUACGAGUUGUCCUCUGGAUUAUCGCACGGAGGCAGCUACGGAUCUCACGGAGGUGACGCCUCAGUUUUACUGAACGGAGGAUCUGGAUGGUCUCAAGGAAAUUCUGGAUGGUCCCAAGGAAAUUCUGGAUGGUCUUCGGAACAGCAGAGCGGCUGGUCUGGACAUUAACCAGAAAACCAGUUGCCCAAUUUUUGUACAUUUUGUUGUAACGAGUCAGCGACAUUGAAUUUGUACUCUUUAGUCAUAUUCUUCUAUAAUAUAAAAUGAAUGAUAUUGAAUAAAUAUACAUUUUUAUAAAUAUUGGAGUGUCACGUGUCUUGUAAUUUUGAUUUUCCAAUCACCCUUGCGAGUUCCGAUUCUUCAGCAUUUCUGGAAUACGUCUUGAACUUGGUCGGAAAAAAGCAACACC